RNAcentral lists this unclassified non-coding RNA (2593 nucleotides) under Hevea brasiliensis (rubber tree). Lineage: Eukaryota; Viridiplantae; Streptophyta; Magnoliopsida; Malpighiales; Euphorbiaceae. The record is from RNAcentral.
GGUUGAACUGGAGACGUGCCACGAUAGUUUUAUAUUAUCGCAAAAUUCUCAAUAAGUUGAAAAAAAACUUCAACCUCAAUUCCAAUUCAUCUUCUCGUCUCCUCCGCCUCUAUCAAACGCCUCCGUUCCACUUUCUGAAACAAGAACUUUGAAAUUUCUUUCUUUUUUUUCCCCUUCCUUUUUCGGAGCCAUUAUCAUCAUGAGCUUUCAAGAUCUUGAGGCUGGAAGGCCUUUCCUGCAAAAGAAGCCAAAAGAAAAAGACCCUUCUCAAGCUGUGGCCGCCGGGAUUUUCCAAAUCAACACUGCCGUCUACUCCUUCAACCGCCUCGUCAAUUCCCUCGGAACUCCCAAGGAUACCAUCGAAUUGCGAGAGAAACUGUUAAGUAUUCUGAUUCUUUGCUUCCGUUUACGCUGUUUUGAAUUGUUCCAAAUUUAACGCUCAGAGAGGUAGAAUUUGUUGUUUUAUUGUACUGGGUUCUUGGUUUUGAGGUUUUCCUGCCUCUCUUGUGGUGGAUUUUGAUAAUAACGUUGUUGAACUGGUUUGUGUAUCUUGUUCUGCAAUUGCUUGUACCUUUGAUUUUCCCAGUUUUAGCAUCGCUAUUAGAACUGCUUGUUAUGUUUAGAAAUGGCUGUUGGAUGCCUCUGCUUGGUUCUUACGCUGGAUUCACCUUAUUGGCAGGCAUAAGACAAGACAACGUAUUGGAGAACUGGUGAAAGAAACUUCUGUUAAACUUAAGGAAGCCAGUGAAACCGAUCAUUAUGAAGAAGUUAGUCCUGCCAAAAAGAUUAGUGAUGCUAAGCUUGCAAAAGAGUUUAGGAAUGCUCUUAACGAAUUUCAGAAGUCCCAAAGGCUUGCUGCUGAGAGGGAAACUAUGUAUGCUCCUUUCGUUCCCAAAGUUCUUCCAUCAAGCUACAAUGCCCAUGAGCCUGAUCAAAGUUCGUCAAGGAGUCCCGAGCAGCAAUCUCUUCUUUUAGAAUCUAGAAGACAGGAGAUUGUAUUGUUGGACAAUGAGAUAGCAUUUAAUGAAGCUAUUAUUGAAGAACGAGAGCAGGGGAUUAAAGAAAUUCAGCAACAGAUUAGUGAAGUAAGUGAGAUAUUCAAAGAUCUAGCUGUCUUGGUACAUGAGCAAGGAGUUAUGAUUGAUGAUAUUGGUUCUAACAUUGAGAGCUCUCAUGCUGCAACUGCACAAGCUACUUCACAACUUGCAAAAGCUUCCAAGAUCCAAAGAUCUAAUUCUUCUUUGGUAAAGUUUGAUUCGUGCAAAAUUUCUUCUUUUCUGGUUUGAUUUGGUUAGGUUUUUCUAUAUUAACUGAAUUUAUGCUGUAUUUAUAUAUGCUGAUACUCAUGCAUUAAGUUUUGCUUUUUAGGGGCUUGACUGUAAGUUGUAGAACUUAGAAGGUACUUCUUAGGUGAAUUAUAAUUAAACUUUAGAGAGAAUUGAUCUGCCAAUUGUUGCAGUUGGCAUUUGUUAUUUUGCUCAAAUGCUGAAUGCAAUUUAUGGAAUUCUAAUAGAAUGCCUAGAGAAUUUGGUUUUGGUUUAUAAAUAGUGCAUUUAUUUUUUUUAUUGUGUUUAGCAUUUCUCUACGUGGAUGUCAUGUGAUUGAGAUUCUGUUUGGUGUCUAAUCUAUAUCAACCUUCUAGGCGCUUCAAACUGAUGACCCGGUGCAUGUUUAUAUCUCAUACUUGUACUUAAAAUUCAAUUGAAUGAGGCCGCAAAUGUUAGAUGGUCAAGUUCUGAAUUCUCUCAUCUGAUGUCAAUUUAACUAGAUGAGUGGUUCAAACUUGGCUUGCUUUUGGUUUCACAGUACUCUGCGAGCAUUGUGCUAAUCAGUGUUAAUUUUUGUCACUAUCCUUCAUUCUCCCUCCUGCCUGUGUAAUUCUUCAUUCUUCUGUGUUAAGAAUUUAAGAAUUAGAAGAAGAAAAAGGAAAGGAAGGGAAGGAAAGGAACAUAGAGGCUGCAUCUUUAUUAUUAUUACUUCUAUAAAAUAGAAGAGUACAUAUUUAAAUACAGAUAUCUUUUAAUUACUCUGCUUAGUUAGGAAUAUGAAUCCUACACAAAAUGGGGAAUUAAAUGCUAUACUAAAUAGGAAUAUAUAAAAUCCAUAUUGACUUUCCAUAACACAACUCAUUACCAGUCCAUCCUCUUGUAAAGUUAUUAGUUUUUGCUAGUUGACAUUUUCUUGGACAUUGAAUGGGACCAUUCACUACUUAUUUCAGAGUUUAAAACUAUAUUUUACGUGGAUAGCAGUUGGAGGGUUGCGAGGAUACAAGAAAGUACCAUUUGACUGCAAGAUUUGUUGUAGGAUAAAAAAUAUAAUGAGUUGAGACAUUUGAGGAAGAAAUCUAUUAAAAUCCACUUUGAAAAUGUUUUUUCGCUAAUUGCUAUGGCCAUUUUUGUUUUGUAUUGUGUUGCAGAAUUAAGCUACUAGAUGGUAUUAGGCUUCAAUUUCACUUAAAAAAAUGGACUUGGGUCUUGUCGGUCCAUCAAAUUGAUUUUUCUUUGACUAAAGAGUUGACAGAUGGCAUCAAAGAUUAGAAAAGUAGCUAGAAAAGUAUUUAGAGAGUCUGGAGGACAUGGACCAUCCUCAAAAG